This 492-nucleotide ribosomal RNA is filed under the name uncultured Rhodobacter sp. RNAcentral describes it as "bacterial SSU rRNA". It matches the Rfam family "Bacterial small subunit ribosomal RNA", at positions 92 to 619 of the family's 1533-position model. Lineage: Bacteria; Pseudomonadati; Pseudomonadota; Alphaproteobacteria; Rhodobacterales. The record is from RNAcentral.
CUAGUGGCGGACGGGUGAGUAACGCGUGGGAACGUGCCCUUUGGUUCGGAAUAGCCCUGGGAAACUGGGAGUAAUACCGGAUGUGCCCUUCGGGGGAAAGAUUUAUCGCCAAAGGAUCGGCCCGCGUUGGAUUAGGUAGUUGGUGGGGUAAUGGCCUACCAAGCCGACGAUCCAUAGCUGGUUUGAGAGGAUGAUCAGCCACACUGGGACUGAGACACGGCCCAGACUCCUACGGGAGGCAGCAGUGGGGAAUCUUAGACAAUGGGGGAAACCCUGAUCCAGCCAUGCCGCGUGAGCGAUGAAGGCCUUAGGGUUGUAAAGCUCUUUCGUGGGGGAAGAUAAUGACUGUACCCCAAGAAGAAGCCCCGGCUAACUCCGUGCCAGCAGCCGCGGUAAUACGGAGGGGGCUAGCGUUGUUCGGAAUUACUGGGCGUAAAGCGCACGUAGGCGGACCGGAAAGUCAGAGGUGAAAUCCCAGGGCUCAACCUUGGA